AACGCUGGCGGCAGGCCUAACACAUGCAAGUCGAGCGCCGUAGCAAUACGGAGCGGCAGACGGGAGAGUAACACGUGGGAACGUACCCUUUGGUUCGGAACAACCCAGGGAAACUUGGGCUAAUACCGGAUAAGCCCUCACGGGGAAAGAUUCAUCGCCGAAGGAUCGGCCCGCGUCUGAUUAGCUAGUUGGUGGGGUAAUGGCCCACCAAGGCGACGAUCAGUAGCUGGUCUGAGAGGAUGAUCAGCCUCACUGGGACUGAGACACGGCCCAGACUCCUACGGGAGGCAGCAGUGGGGAAUAUUGGACAAUGGGCGCAAGCCUGAUCCAGCCAUGCCGCGUGGGUGAUGAAGGCCCUAGGGUUGUAAAGCCCUUUCGGCGGGGAAGAUAAUGACGGUACCCGCAGAAGAAGCCCCGGCUAACUUCGUGCCAGCAGCCGCGGUAAUACGAAGGGGGCUAGCGUUGCUCGGAAUCACUGGGCGUAAAGCGCACGUAGGCGGAUUGUUAAGUCAGGGGUGAAAUCCUGGAGCUCAACUCCAGAACUGCCUUUGAUACUGGCGAUCUUGAGUCCGGGAGAGGUGAGUGGAACUGCGA
Molecule: ribosomal RNA, 594 nt
Filed under: uncultured bacterium
Lineage: Bacteria
Description: bacterial SSU rRNA
Rfam family: Bacterial small subunit ribosomal RNA
Source: RNAcentral